RNAcentral lists this long non-coding RNA (4970 nucleotides) under Sus scrofa (pig). Its description in RNAcentral is "lncRNA (ENSSSCG00000062992.1)". Lineage: Eukaryota; Metazoa; Chordata; Mammalia; Artiodactyla; Suidae. The record is from RNAcentral.
AAGGGUUGAAGGCAUGUCUUACAAUUUUUUUUUUUAGAUAAGCUAGUUUAGUUCUGUUGACUGAGGAUAUCAUGGAUUCAUGGACUUUAAGUUUGAGUAGUUUUGUUGUUGUUUUUCCUCUAAUAAAACUUAAUAAACCUUAACAGUUUUUUCAGUUCCUCCAAAAUUGUGGCUUGUCUGUCAGCAUUAAAUUUUAUGUCAUUGUUGACAGAACACUGGAAGCCAGCUAUAAUGGAAAAAAAAUAAAAAUCAUUAUAUAAAAAUACAAAAUAAAAAAUUAAAAAAUAAAUUUAAAAUUUAAAAAAAUUUCAUGUCAUUGAUGUUUUUAAUCCCUUAUUUAUAUCUUGAUUAUUUUGUGAGAAAUUGGAAGAGUCUAAUAGUCAAAAGCUGCUGACUUGAAAGCCAUUAAGUAUCCUUUCACAUUUUUGUUAUCAUAUGAUUAAAUUAUACUAUAUUACUUCUCCUCUGACAAUAUUCAUAUAAAAAGUCCAUAUUGAGGUGUUCCCAUCGUGCCUCAGCGGUUAACAAAACUGACUAGCGUCGAUGAGGACAGAGGUUUCAUCCCUGGCCUUGCUCAGUGGGUUAAGGAUCCGGAGUUGCCAUGAGGUAUGGUGUAGGUCAUAGAUGUGGCUCGAAUCCAGCAUUGGUGGUGCUCUGGCAUAGGUCAGUGGCUACAGCUUGGAUUGGAUCCCUAGCCUGGGAACCUCCAUAUGCUGCAGGUGCAGCCCUAAAAAGACAAAUAAAACUUCUAUAUUGAUAAAAGUAUAUAUUAUUCAUCUGAAACAUGCAUCCUGGAAAGAAUUGAAGGGAAAAAAAAGAGUCAUGUAGUAAUGGGGCUAUUGCCACUUAAGAUGCUCAAAUCAAUCUAAGACACCUACAGUUAACUUUUGUCUCCUAUUGGGUUUUGGUUCAAAUGCCAAUUAUAGUGUGCAUAGGGAAGGAAACGAGGAAAGGUGUUGUGAUCAAUACUGAAGUAAGUUAUGUCAGUUCAGUUGAAAUGUGAAUGUCAAUUCAAUUGAAAUGUGAAUGAUGCUGCAACAUUAAUUGUAUUAUGUUCUCUAUAAAGUAAAAAUAUUAGUAAAAUUAUGUAUUGUAUCAAAGGGUAGCUUUCAGAAAUAUUUCUCUGCUAUAUUCUUAAAGUUUUAAGAAUGUAUCUGAAUAAUACCCAGUGCCCAAUAAAUUAUAAAGAUAAAUAAGCUUGGGAAAAAGUAACUGAAUUCAGAACCUGUCUGACUCUAGAUAUUCUGAUUUCAUACUGCUGCCAUGUCCUUUAGCACACUACAAUAUUUCUACAAUUGUUGCAGAAAUGACUCUCCUUUUUUCUUAGUUUUCAAUCUAAAACUAACAAGUAAUUAGUAGCUAGAAUAAAAAAUCCCUGAAACAUGUGUUUAAAGUUUCAAGUCAUAUAUACAUCAGAAAUUAAAACAUACAGAGACUGUCUCUGACUUAUUUAAGAAAUAUGAUCUGUUGCCUACCUAUCAUUAUAAAGAUGUUCUUUUCAAAUGAGAUCGUUUGGAAAUAUAUAUAGUGCUACAUUUUUCUUUUCAAAAGCUUUAUUCAGUAAUUAAUAUUUUAAGAAAAAUAUCGCUGAAGGAAUACAGCCAUAUCUGAAUACCAUUUCUUAAAGCAGCCUUACUACAGUGCCAGAUAGAGAGAGAUAACAUAUAUUGCAUUUUAGUGAUGUCAUGCUAACACCGCAGGAUGUUUCACAAUAAUGUAAAACUUGCCCUACUUGGGGGCAGUAAUAAAUAACAAAAAAAGUGAGAGUAAUGACAUUUAGAAAAGAAACUUAUAUAGGAAACUUUUAUAAAUUUAUAUUUCAAAUUAAAUGACAAAUUAUAAUAUGUGUUAGAUAAAAUUUAUAUUUAAGUUUUAAUUUAAGGGUGAGUUAGGGAUUAUUUAAAGAAGCACUACAGAAUCUUUAGAUACCACCACCAGUAAGUUUGUUGUGAUAAAAAGGAAUAUUUAUUCCUCAUAUGUUAUUGUAGUUAACAUAGUAAACUGCAUUAUUUUGUGGCAGAAGUAAUUAUUGUAAUGGUCUCUAAGAGGCUCAAAAGUGAACACUGUGUCAAAGUAAUUUUUAUGUUUUCAUUCAUUCAAAUAUAAAUUAAUAUUUGCUAUUUAUGAUUGGCCCAUUUUUAAAACAGCUAUAUACUUCUGUAUUUAGCUUGAAUUUAAUGUUUGCAAUAAAACAUGAUCUUGUAGUGGAAGUUGACAAUAAAUAUCCUCUGUAGCCAACUAGAUUUUGACACACAAUUAAGGAGAGUCUCACAGUGUAAUUUUCACAUAGAUCAAUAACAUUAGAUUCUCAGCACAGUUCUUUCUCUGCUGAUAUAAAUGAAGGCCUCAUUUUAAAUUAGUUCAGCUAAAAUGGGAUUAUUCAAGUAAUGUUAGAUAAAAUAUCUUUCCUUAGCCAAUGCUGAGGACUUCACAUGAGAAAAGAUAAAUAUUUCAGUAGUAAUUUCAUCAUAGAUUUUUGGAAAAUUAUUAAAGUUAUGUAUGUCACAGAUGGUUUGUUGUACACAAAAAGGAUAAUUUUAUAACACAUAAACAGGUUUAUUAUUGGAGGUUGUUCAUUGAUAAGAAUCUGGCUAAUGCAUAGAAAUUCAGCUUUUUUUUUUUCAUCAUAAAAUUCAUCUGUAUUUCAAAAAUAUAUCUGGAGACAAGGCCAGAGGAAAGGAUAGAACAGUGUCUAUACUAAUAAGAGCUUCUACUUUUAAAUUUUUAUGUCUCCACAUUGGCACCAAAUUCUAAUCUUCUGUAUCAUAUUCUAUCUAUCUAAAUUACACUUUUUUAUUCAGAAUCUACUGCAUCUCCCUCUAUUCAUCUAAGAGGUUCAGAGGGAAAAAAGUGACAGUUUGGUCACAGAAUGGAGUCCUUUCAGUUAGAUCAUGUAUCAGGAACAUGGUGUUAUUAGAGAAAAAUAUGUAUCAUACUAAAAAUAAACCCAUCAUUGAGCAGUCCCAGGAGAUUAAGACCUAACCAGCUGGGAUUUAAAUCAAAUAGUUGACUCUAGAAUUCACAUCCUUCACCACCAUGCUGUACAACCUCUCUGGAUGACUUCUUAUGUCUGCUGAGGCCUUUUAUGAUGGUAUACUUUGCACUUUAUUGAUUAAUACUAUAAAACUGAACCUACAUUCACAUUUUUAGUUGCAUGCAAGAGAACCUUUAUUUUAAUAGGCUGUGCAAAAAUUCUAAGUGAAUAUUUCAAAUUCUGGCUGUCAAGGCAUAGGAAAUGCUUAUUUGUUUGAGUGAAAGGUCUUUCUUGUUAAGACUAUGUAAUUUGUAAAAUCAGUUUAUUUUUUUUCUUUCUUCUGAAUCUUUUCAUGUGUCAGCUGUAAUGCCAUUUGAAUCAAAGACAUUUGAUUACCAUCUAUGUUCCUAUGUUCUUCUCUUAAACUGAAUGGCAAGCUUUGUGUAAGAUUGGCAGCCUUGCAGAAUGGACUGUUUCGACAUUGGCAAAAUAUUGCAACAAGAGACAACUUGUAACUCCUCCGUUUUAUGGGUUGUCAGACUAGAAUUCAGUGCCAGGAUUGGCAGAGGUUUCAGAGCUUUUUUGCUUCAUCAACUAUCAAUUCCCUAAGAAGCUCAAACCAUCUCUGUCUAUUCCAAGAAGGUAACCCAUUGGUCAGAUCAUUUUUGUUUAUUUAUUUGUUUGUUUUUUGUUAUUGUUAAGAGCUAGUAAGAUGUAUCUAUAUCUAUCUAUCUAUCUAUAUAAUUUUUAAGAGUAAAUGUUUCUCAUUUUUUCCUUGAUAGAGAGCUUUGUUGUGAUAUCUUAAUUAGUUUACCAAUAUGAUAUUAUUUUUCUCUGUAAUAUAAAAUAACCUAUGAGAAGAUUAGAAUUCCAUUCAGUCCUACUUAAAAUUAACAUUAGAAAACAUUACCUGAAUAUCUGUCACAAUUCUCCUUUCAGUGUGCAUCUUCUGGAAUCAGAUAGACACAUCUUAUUCUUGCACUGUUUACUUGGUAACUUUGACACUUUGUGUAAGUGCCCAGUAUGCAUCCUCAUCUGUUAAAUAGAUGGAAUAACAAGAUGAACUUCAUAAGAUUUAUAUGAGGAAUAUUGAGAUACCUAUUAAAUCAUUAUCUCUGCCUGGGAUAUAGUCAAUAUUCAAUAAAUAUUAGCUGCCAUCCCCCUGAUCAUGAUCAUGGCCAAAAGAGAGAAGAUUGAAUAAAUAAGAACAGAUUACGACAGGAGCUUUAUAUUCCUUUAUGAAUAUGAUAAAAUAUAGAGAAGGAGGACAAGGGAAGAUUGCAGUAGGGGAGAAUGGAUUGUUUCAAAGUAAAUUACAUAAUCUGAACUACUAAAGACAGGAAGAUUCGUGGUAAGACUCUUUGGCACAUUCAGUAAUUCAUCAUCUAUCCUAGAGAGCUGGAUCCUGAAUGUCUCUAUUAAGUCUUCUCACUGUCUAGAUUUGCCCAGACCCAAGUCAAAAGGAAUUAAUCUUUUGGCACAUGGUGUUAUACUAUAUACCCCAAGGAAAGAGAAAUUCAAUAGAGAUAAUUAUAAGUUAGUUGAAUAGUUAAGCUUGGCUGCUCCAAACUGAGUAAAACAAAUGGGAGUCCAGGCUUGGAGAGCCUUAUACUGCUCAUACUGCUUUUAGGGACAGGUCCUAGUGAACUGUCUCAGAUGAGGUUUGGCUGGGACCUUCUUAUUCUUCAGGACUUAGCUGAAAUGUGCCCUCUUUGAGAGGCCAUCUUAGACUGAUAUUAGCAUCUUUUCCCCUUUCCCUAUUGUUGGCCUCAUUUUCCUUCUUUGUUAUACUUACUGUAAAUUGCAGUUGAGUAGUUUUAAUUGAGUAUCCUCUAAUGUUUGUAAGUCCAAGAGCCCUGUAUGUUUAGUUUGCCAUUAUAUAGAGAACACUUAAUAUAGUGGUUUUCUAUUAUAGUGAUUUCCUUCAAUAAAAUUUUGUUAAUUAGAAGGAAGAACAAUUAACAAUAAGGAGGACAGUAAAACUGGGGACAUAUCU